RNAcentral lists this ribosomal RNA (442 nucleotides) under uncultured bacterium. RNAcentral's name for it is "bacterial SSU rRNA". It matches the Rfam family "Bacterial small subunit ribosomal RNA", at positions 958 to 1397 of the family's 1533-position model. The record is from RNAcentral.
AACGCGAAGAACCUUACCUGGGCUAGAAUGCGUUUUGACCGAGGGUGAAAGCUCUCUUUGUAGCAAUACACAAUUCGUAAGGUGCUGCAUGGCUGUCGUCAGCUCGUGCCGUGAGGUGUUGGGUUAAGUCCCGCAACGAGCGCAACCCCCAUCAUUAGUUGCCAUCAGGUAAAGCUGGGAACUCUAAUGAAACUGCCGUCGUAAGACGCGAGGAAGGAGGGGAUGAUGUCAAGUCAUCAUGGCCUUUAUGCCCAGGGCUACACACGUGCUACAAUGGGAAGGACAAAGGGCUGCCACUUGGCGACAAGGAGCUAAUCCCAAAAACCUUCUCUCAGUUCAGAUUGCAGUCUGCAACUCGACUGCAUGAAGCUGGAAUCGCUAGUAAUCGUAUAUCAGCAAUGAUACGGUGAAUACGUUCCCGGGCCUUGUACACACCGCGAGC